This 72-nucleotide transfer RNA is filed under the name Bos taurus (domestic cattle). It matches the Rfam family "tRNA". From Rfam's summary of the family: Transfer RNA (tRNA) molecules are approximately 80 nucleotides in length. Their secondary structure includes four short double-helical elements and three loops (D, anti-codon, and T loops). The record is from Rfam by way of RNAcentral. Lineage: Eukaryota; Metazoa; Chordata; Mammalia; Artiodactyla; Bovidae. RNAcentral also lists the same sequence under 2 other names.
UCCCUGGUGGCCCAGUGGUUAGGACUCAGAGCUUUCAAUGCCGCAGCCCAGGUUCAAUCCCUGGUUGGGGAA